GUGGGGAAUCUUGGACAAUGGGGGCAACCCUGAUCCAGCGACGCCGCGUGGGUGAUGAAGGCCUUCGGGUUGUAAAGCCCUUUCGACGGGGACGAUGAUGACGGUACCCGGCGAAGAAGCACCGGCUAACUCCGUGCCAGCAGCCGCGGUAAGACGGAGGGUGCUAGCGUUGUUCGGAAUCACUGGGCGUAAAGGGCGCGUAGGCGGCCUUGGCAGUCGGCUCGUGAAAGCCCGGGGCUCAACCCCGGAGGUGCGGCCGAUACACCGAGGCUUGAGGCCGGAAGAGGAGGGUGGAAUACCCAGUGUAGAGGUGAAAUUCGUAGAUAUUGGGUGGAACACCGGUGGCGAAAGCGGCUCUCUGGUCCGGACCUGACGCUGAGGCGCGAAAGCGUGGGGAGCAAACAGGAUUAGAUACCCCAGUAGUCC
RNAcentral lists this ribosomal RNA (426 nucleotides) under uncultured bacterium. RNAcentral describes it as "bacterial SSU rRNA". It matches the Rfam family "Bacterial small subunit ribosomal RNA", at positions 354 to 796 of the family's 1533-position model. The record is from RNAcentral.